RNAcentral lists this long non-coding RNA (1005 nucleotides) under Marmota monax (woodchuck). The record is from RNAcentral. Lineage: Eukaryota; Metazoa; Chordata; Mammalia; Rodentia; Sciuridae.
GAACAGGGAUAGCUGGGUCAGAUGGUGGAUCCAUUCCCAGAUUUCCAAGGAAUCUCUGUACUGCUUUCCAAAUUGGCUGCACCUAUCUGGUUGAUUUAAAGUGGUAUCUUGUGGUUUUAUUUUCCUUGAUUUCUAUUUAGAUUGAACAUCUUGUCUUAUGUUGAGUAGUCAUACAUAUUUCUUUUCUAUGAAAUACCCAUUAACUGUCCUACCUGAUUUUUAUUAUUAUUGAUUAGUAAGCAUUCCUUAUUAUUCUGGAUAUUCAUUAUCAGUUGGGUAUUUAUCUGGUAAAAGUCUUCCCUCCCUUUUGACUUGCUUUUACACUUUAUGAUAUCUUUCAGAGCACAAUUCUUUAUUUUAAUGUGUCAAACAUACCAAUAAUUUUAUUUAAUGAUAUUUUAUCUGUGUCUUUUUAAAAUAUUUUUUCCUGCUCAAGGUUAUAUGUUCUUUUAUAUCUUCCUCUAAAAGUCAUAAGUUGUUUACUUCACAUUUCAGCCUCGUGAAUGUAGAAUUCAUUUCUGUGUGUUGUGUUAUAGUGUAAGUAUGGCUUUAGGCCUUAGCCUAAGCAACUCCAUUUUAAAACUCCAUCUUAAAAUAAACCUGCAGUCUUACCGGGCAAACCACAGAGUCCUUCAAUAUGUCAAUCAGGUAUAGCCUGAUAAAAACAAGUCACUUUCCACAACCAUGGUAAGAGUCAGGGUGAAGUCAUGUCAUUUGUCAUAACUGAUAAGAGUCAGAAGGGUAUCAGGGCAGAAACCACCAGACCAUAUGUCCUGUCUAAGAUGUAAGAUGUCACUAAGAAACCUGGUAACAAUUGAUAGGGACCCAAAGGGCGAGCAGAAGCUCCCCAAAUUUAACAAAAAUAUUGGAGCAAAUGAACAGACAUUCACCAGCUGACACUGAUGCACACAAGCCUGAGAGCCUGAUGAGGACCUAGUCUGACAUCCCAACUCUUCUCAUCAUCUGCCUAAUCCUCUGCAUUGUCCUCAUCACUCUCAAACUCUA